RNAcentral lists this ribosomal RNA (165 nucleotides) under uncultured bacterium. RNAcentral's name for it is "partial 16S ribosomal RNA". It matches the Rfam family "Bacterial small subunit ribosomal RNA", at positions 339 to 518 of the family's 1533-position model. The record is from RNAcentral.
CUACGGGAGGCAGCAGUGGGGAAUAUUGCACAAUGGGGGAAACCCUGAUGCAGCAACGCCGCGUGAAGGAAGAAGUAUUUCGGUAUGUAAACUUCUAUCGACAGGGAAGAAAAAAAUGACGGUACCUGAAUAAGAAGCACCGGCUAAAUACGUGCCAGCAGCCGC